AGUUGAAUAGUGAGGUAGUUAGAGAUAGUGGUGUUCGUUCGUUAGGUUCUGAAACGAAACGAAUGGCUUGUACUCUUCUCUCUCCUCUCAACCUCCCAACAUCUUCUUCUUCUUCUUCUUCUUCAUCAAUCAACCACUGUGCCAUCAAGACCAAGACGACCACCACCACCAUCACCGCCACCGCCGCCGCCGCCGCAGCCAAUAGUAGAUGUUGGAGGAGGACGAGUAGGAGAACGGCCACCACCGUCAUUGCCAAAGCUUCUGAAAAAGACGGAGGCGAGGGCGACGAUUCUCCGGCAUUCAACCCUUUCGGCUUCGUCACGAACAAUCCUUCGAGUAAAAGCGCAAUUCAGCUUCCCGAGAGUCCCGCCGAGGACGGCAAUGUCGGCCAAAUGCUCUAUAGGAUAGAAGACAAAGGAAAGGAGUUUGGCUCUACCAUCAAAUCUGGGCAGUUUAGAUGGUUUGUGAGAGAAACAGGAGCACCUGAGAGCCGCCGCGGAACCAUUGUUUUCCUUCAUGGGGCUCCAACACAAUCUUUUAGCUAUCGAGUUGUCAUGUCUCAGAUGGCAGAUUCUGGAUUCCACUGCUUUGCACCUGAUUGGAUAGGGUUUGGUUUCAGUGACAAGCCACAGGCAGGAUACGGUUUUGACUACACCGAAAAGGAGUUCCAUGAUGAAUUUGGAAAAUUACUAGAUGUCCUGGGGGUCAAAUCUCCAUUUUACCUAGUAGUUCAGGGAUUUCUUGUAGGUUCUUAUGGAUUAACUUGGGCCUUGAAAAAUCCUAGCAGAAUAUUGAAGCUAGCAAUUUUAAACAGUCCAAUAACAGAUUCCUCUCCAGUUCCUGGAUUGUUUCAAAAGCUCAGAUUUCCUCUCUUGGGUGAAUUUACUUGCCAGAAUGCAAUAGAGGCUGAGCGCUUUAUUGAAGCAGGUAGCCCUUAUGUCCUGAAGCUGGAAAAGGCUGAUGUGUAUCGGUUACCGUAUUUGUCAAGCAGUGGACCAGGAUUUGCUUUGCUUGAAGCUGCAAAAAGAGCCAACUUCAAAGGAAUCUCAAGCCAAAUAGCAGCUGGUUUUGCAUCUGGAAGGGUGUAGCCUUUUGAAAUAUUAAUGGCUUCAGCUAACCCUACAUUUCUUCUUCUGCUUCUGCUCUUGGUUCCUGAAAAAACGGCUUCUUCUAUUAGCUGGGAUAAGCCAAUAUUAGUUGCCUGGGGAACAGAAGACAAGUAUCUGCCUUCUUCAGUAGCAGAAGAGUUUCAGAAAGGAAACCCUACUAAUGUCAAGCUUAAGCUGAUAGAAGGUGCUGGCCAUAUGCCGCAGGAAGACUGGCCCGAGAAAGUUGUGGAUGCUUUGAGAGCGUUUCUCUUGUAAAUCACUAUUGUCGUACAUAUAAAGUUGUUGAGCAUGUGCAAGCAUUGUUCUUUUAGUUGAAGAGCUGUUUGUGUGAAGGUAAAGAAUGCUAACUUCAUAGAAAUGCAAAGCUUUUCGAUAAAUAUAAUCGUUCUUUUGUGAGUUCCAUUGACAA
Molecule: RNA transcript, 1518 nt
Organism: Camellia sinensis
Lineage: Eukaryota; Viridiplantae; Streptophyta; Magnoliopsida; Ericales; Theaceae
Gene name: alpha/beta-Hydrolases superfamily protein
Source: RefSeq, a predicted model, not a curated record